AGAGUUUGAUCAUGGCUCAGAUUGAACGCUGGCGGCAGGCCUAACACAUGCAAGUCGAGCGGUAGCACAGAGAGCUUGCUCUCGGGUGACGAGCGGCGGACGGUGAGUAAUGUCUGGGAAACUGCCUGAUGGAGGGGGAUAACUACUGGAAACGGUAGCUAAUACCGCAUAACGUCGCAAGACCAAAGUGGGGGACCUUCGGGCCUCAUGCCAUCAGAUGUGCCCAGAUGGGAUUAGCUAGUAGGUGGGGUAACGGCUCACCUAGGCGACGAUCCCUAGCUGGUCUGAGAGGAUGACCAGCCACACUGGAACUGAGACACGGUCCAGACUCCUACGGGAGGCAGCAGUGGGGAAUAUUGCACAAUGGGCGCAAGCCUGAUGCAGCCAUGCCGCGUGUGUGAAGAAGGCCUUCGGGUUGUAAAGCACUUUCAGCGGGGAGGAAGGCGAUAAGGUUAAUAACCUUGUCGAUUGACGUUACCCGCAGAAGAAGCACCGGCUAACUCCGUGCCAGCAGCCGCGGUAAUACGGAGGGUGCAAGCGUUAAUCGGAAUUACUGGGCGUAAAGCGCACGCAGGCGGUCUGUCAAGUCGGAUGUGAAAUCCCCGGGCUCAACCUGGGAACUGCAUUCGAAAACUGGCAGGCUAGAGUCUUGUAGAGGGGGGUAGAAUUCCAGGUGUAGCGGUGAAAUGCGUAGAGAUCUGGAGGAAUACCGGUGGCGAAGGCGGCCCCUGGACAAAGACUGACGCUCAGGUGCGAAAGCGUGGGGAGCAAACAGGAUUAGAUACCCUGGUAGUCCACGCCGUAAACGAUGUCGAUUUGGAGGUUGUGCCCUUGAGGCGUGGCUUCCGGAGCUAACGCGUUAAAUCGACCGCCUGGGGAGUACGGCCGCAAGGUUAAAACUCAAAUGAAUUGACGGGGCCCGCACAAGCGGUGGAGCAUGUGGUUUAAUUCGAUGCAACGCGAAGAACCUUACCUGGUCUUGACAUCCACAGAACUUUCCAGAGAUGGAUUGGUGCCUUCGGGAACUGUGAGACAGGUGCUGCAUGGCUGUCGUCAGCUCGUGUUGUGAAAUGUUGGGUUAAGUCCCGCAACGAGCGCAACCCUUAUCCUUUGUUGCCAGCGGUUAGGCCGGGAACUCAAAGGAGACUGCCAGUGAUAAACUGGAGGAAGGUGGGGAUGACGUCAAGUCAUCAUGGCCCUUACGACCAGGGCUACACACGUGCUACAAUGGCAUAUACAAAGAGAAGCGACCUCGCGAGAGCAAGCGGACCUCAUAAAGUAUGUCGUAGUCCGGAUUGGAGUCUGCAACUCGACUCCAUGAAGUCGGAAUCGCUAGUAAUCGUAGAUCAGAAUGCUACGGUGAAUACGUUCCCGGGCCUUGUACACACCGCCCGUCACACCAUGGGAGUGGGUUGCAAAGAAGUAGGUAGCUUAACCUUCGGGAGGGCGCUUACCACUUUGUGAUUCAUGACUGGGGUGAAGUCGUAACAAGGUAACCGUAGGGGAACCUGCGGUUGGAUCACCU
This 1525-nucleotide ribosomal RNA is filed under the name Klebsiella pneumoniae. Its description in RNAcentral is "bacterial SSU rRNA". It matches the Rfam family "Bacterial small subunit ribosomal RNA". The record is from RNAcentral. Lineage: Bacteria; Pseudomonadati; Pseudomonadota; Gammaproteobacteria; Enterobacterales; Enterobacteriaceae.